AUUUCUAAAUCGCUGAAGCAAUUAUACGCGGGGGACCCAAUUUUUACGGAUUAUAAGGUAAUCCUUGGGGUGAAUCUCUUCAUUUAUUGAGGGGUAGGGCUACUCAGGCCCGAAUCCGACAGCUAACCUCGUAAGCGUUAAGAGCAGAAAA
This 151-nucleotide small RNA is filed under the name Lysinibacillus xylanilyticus. RNAcentral's name for it is "c-di-AMP sequence". It matches the Rfam family "c-di-AMP riboswitch aptamer (ydaO/yuaA leader)". From Rfam's summary of the family: This family represents a conserved RNA structure found upstream of the ydaO and yuaA genes in Bacillus subtilis and related genes in other bacteria. The ydaO/yuaA element is thought to act as a genetic "off" switch for the ydaO and yuaA genes in its native state. It is believed that the element may be triggered during osmotic shock leading to activation of ydaO, a predicted amino acid transporter gene, and members of the yuaA-yubG operon which code for KtrA and KtrB K+ transporters. The record is from RNAcentral. Lineage: Bacteria; Bacillati; Bacillota; Bacilli; Caryophanales; Bacillaceae.